GAUGAACGCUAGCGGGGGGCCUAACACAUGCAAGCCGAACGGUAUGGUUCCUCCGUAAUUGAGUGCGCGGCGUACGAACGCGUAACACGUAUGCAAGUAACCUUUAUCUGGGGGAUAGCCUUCCGAAAGGAGGUUGGACACUCCAUAAUAUAGUGAUCGUCAUCGAUUAAUAUUGAAAGCUUCGGCGGAUGGGGAUGGACUGGCGCCAUAUUAGCUUGUUGGUGGGGUAGUGGCUCACCAAGGCUAUGAUGGGUAGGCGGCCUGGGAGGGUGACCGGCCACAUUGGGACUGAGAGACGGCCCAGACUCCUACGGGAGGCAGCAGUGGGGAAUAUUGCACAAUGGGCGGAAGCCUGAUGCAGCAACGCCGCGUGCGGGAUGACGGCCUUCGGGUUGUAAACCGCUUUCGCCUGUGACGAAGCGUGAGUGACGGUAAUGGGUAAAGAAGCACCGGCUAACUACGUG
Molecule: ribosomal RNA, 464 nt
Filed under: uncultured bacterium
Lineage: Bacteria
Description: partial 16S ribosomal RNA
Rfam family: Bacterial small subunit ribosomal RNA
Source: RNAcentral